GAGGAAUAAGCAUCGGCUAACUCCGUGCCAGCAGCCGCGGUAAUACGGGGGAUGCAAGCGUUAUCCGGAAUCAUUGGGCGUAAAGCGCCUGUAGGUUGUUUAUUAAGUCUGUUGUUAAAGACUAGGGCUCAACCCUAGAAAAGCAAUGGAAACUAAUAGACUCGAGUAUGGCAGGGGUAGAGGGAAUUUCUAGUGUAGCGGUGAAAUGCGUAGAUAUUAGAAAGAACACCGGUGGCGAAAGCGCUCUACUGGACCAUUACUGACACUCAGAGGCGAAAGCUAGGGUAGCAAAAGGGAUUAGAUACCCCUGUAGUCCUAGCCGUAAACGAUGGAUACUAGAUGUUGUGCAUUACGUACAGUAUCGUAGCUAACGCGUUAAGUAUCCCGCCUGGGGAGUACGCUCGCAAGGGUGAAACUCAAAGGAAUUGACGGGGGCCCGCACAAGCGGUGGAGCAUGUGGUUUAAUUCGAUGCAACGCGAAGAACCUUACCAGGGCUUGACAUACUACGGAUUUUUUUGAAAGAGAAAAGUGCCUUCGGGAAUGUAGAUACAGGUGGUGCAUGGCUGUCGUCAGCUCGUGUCGUGAGAUGUUGGGUUAAGUCCCGCAACGAGCGCAACCCUUAUUUUUAGUUACCAACUCGUUGGGUUCUCUAGAAAGACUGCCGGUGACAAACCGGAGGAAGGUGAGGAUGACGUCAAGUCAGCAUGCCCCUUAUGUCCUGGGCUACACACGUGCUACAAUGGUUAAGACAAAGAGUUGCGAGCUUGUAAAAGUCAGCUAAUCUCGUAAACUUAGCCUAAGUUCAGAUUGUAGGCUGCAACUCGCCUGCAUGAAG
RNAcentral lists this ribosomal RNA (836 nucleotides) under Haptophyta environmental samples. Its description in RNAcentral is "bacterial SSU rRNA". It matches the Rfam family "Bacterial small subunit ribosomal RNA", at positions 481 to 1325 of the family's 1533-position model. Lineage: Eukaryota; Haptophyta. The record is from RNAcentral.